CCCGCUGCUCUUUAAUGGGCUUUCCAGUUCCUUCUCUUUCCACUGCCUUCUAUGGGUGUGUUUGCACAGAGAGACCAGGUUUGUGCCUUAAUACUGUGCCUGGACUCCUCCCUUCCAAACCAGAUUCAGCCAGAGAGCUGUAAAAGCCUCUCUCCGCCGCUGCCGUCUGCCACGAGACUGUGCCUGCAGCUGGCACGCUUUCACUGUUUCCACUCUGACUAGAGGGAAAAGCAAAAAUCCACAAUGUGCUGCUAUGAGAAAACGAAGUUAAAUAAAUAAAUUAAUGCAAGGGUUGGAAAAUCUCAACCGA
Molecule: long non-coding RNA, 310 nt
Organism: Misgurnus anguillicaudatus (oriental weatherfish)
Lineage: Eukaryota; Metazoa; Chordata; Actinopteri; Cypriniformes; Cobitidae
Source: RefSeq, a predicted model, not a curated record